GGGAGCAAUGGAAAGCGCACGGGAUUCCUACAGAGCAUCCUCCUUGGCCCAAGACUCUCCAAGACCUUACAUUCUGGAUUCUGUACUUUUGUCGCGCACUUUUAUUUUUAUCCCUUGUUUUUUCUUUCAUCCUUCCUUGUUUUUCUUGCCCCUCGGCUCACACGUGCUUUUUGACAUGUUUCUUUGAUUCUUCGUUGACGUUUCCUUGCGGCCUUUUGGUGGUAGUCUGUCGCUUCGGGAUUUCUUUGUUUUGGCGGGUAGCCUUAUUUGGUCUUUUAGCCUUGAUGCCCUUAGGCUUUUACUUUGGCGGGAGACCUUAUUUGGUCCUUCGACCUUGAUGCCCUUAGGCUUUUUUGUUUUGGCGGGAGGCCUUAUUUG
RNAcentral lists this long non-coding RNA (378 nucleotides) under Zostera marina. RNAcentral's name for it is "long non-coding RNA (ZMAR_LNC004328)". The record is from RNAcentral. Lineage: Eukaryota; Viridiplantae; Streptophyta; Magnoliopsida; Alismatales; Zosteraceae.